AAUGAACGCUGGCGGCGCGCCUAAUACAUGCAAGUCGAGCGAGAAGACGUAGCAAUACGUUUGUAAAGCGGCGAACGGGUGAGGAAUACAUGGGUAACCUACCCUCGAGUGGGGAAGUAACUAGCCGAAGGUUAGCUAAUACCGCGUACGCUCCUUGGACUUCGGUUCAGGGAGGAAAGACGAUACCGUGGGUAUCGCGCUCUUGGUUGGGCUCAUGUCCUAUCAGCUUGUUGGUGAGGAACGGCUCACCAAGGCUUCGACGGGUAGCUGGUCUGAGAGGACGAUCAGCCACACUGGCACUGCGACACGGGCCAGACUCCUACGGGAGGCAGCAGUAAGGAAUAUUGCGCAAUGGGCGAAAGCCUGACGCAGCGACGCCGCGUGGGGGA
Molecule: ribosomal RNA, 389 nt
Filed under: uncultured bacterium
Lineage: Bacteria
Description: bacterial SSU rRNA
Rfam family: Bacterial small subunit ribosomal RNA
Source: RNAcentral